Passer domesticus (house sparrow) is the source of this 3959-nucleotide long non-coding RNA. RefSeq lists it as uncharacterized. The record is from RefSeq and is a predicted model, not a curated record. Lineage: Eukaryota; Metazoa; Chordata; Aves; Passeriformes; Passeridae. The transcript has 2 exons.
ACCUCGCUGCGGGCCCAGGGCAGCGAGGAGCAGAGCCCCUCCGGCGCUCCCCGCUCCCGCCCGGCCGCCUGCCGGGGCCCCGCUCACAGCGGGAAUUCCGCUGCCACAGUGAUGCUCUGCAGCCCUGGAGGCACCAGCCAGGCCACAGCCCACUGGGACAGCGAGACAAAACAGCCCAGGUGAAAGGGCUCCAAGGCCCUGUGGAGAGUUCCGACAAAAAUAUGGGGUUUGGAAACUUUCCUUUUUAACUUCUUUCCCCGUUGGUAAAUGAGGUGCAAUAUCAAAAUUGCAUAAUGCAGUGAUCUACGUCAGCCAAUCUCUUGUUAAUCGCUGCCUUGCAUGAUUCCUGUUGAACAAAGGUAAUCCUGUACAGAGGGGAAAUCACAGUAGCAGCAAACUGACAAUUUGAAAUGCAAAAGGAUAGCUGCAGUAAAAACCUUGCUAAAUCAUGGGGUUUAUUAAAACCUUCAUCUGUUGGUUUACUGGAAAAUGUAAGGUAAUAGGAUAUAUGGAAAUACCAACAAUAUAUUUAAAUGCAAGAAGUUAUUACAGCUGAGAAAAAUAUCUUCUAAAGCUACCACUUCCUACCUAAAGCUACCUUAGGAAGAAGCUGGAAUUUAAUAUACUAUUCAACAUGACAUUUAGAAAACAUUUAUAUAAAAGGGCACAUAACACAUGUGGAAAGUGUUUUGUGAAUUUCCCAAUGUUAAAUAUAAUUACUCUGUAAACAUAUGUUCAACACUUACAAAUGUUUAAGCAUCUCUAACUAUAUUUGUUUGGAAUGUGAACACAAACUAAACCUAAAGGUUAAAUAUUUGCUCAUCAUGUUUAUUGAGUAAUUUUCUCAGUUUGAGUAUUUUGAUUAAAAAGAAUCCACAAAUGGCAUCAUGUUUAUUCUGCAGACUACCAUUUUCUGCUUCCUUCAGAGAUGACUGGUAUCUGUGGUCAUUAACAAUAGUUUCUUAAUUAAUUCUGGAGCUGUAUCAAAAAUUUUCAGUUAUUAUAAUUUGUUUUAAAUGCCUUUCAGUUUCUCCUGAACAAUUCUUAAUACCCAGGGCUGUGUUUUACUGUGUGUGCUAAGCAAUACUACAGGGUCACAUCCUGAUUAUGAUGUCGAGAUAGUACUGGAUCCCCCAAAUUGUAUUUUGCUUAAAUUCAAACAGAUCAGAUUUGAGCAACAACCUUUCAGAAUGUUUUUCUAGACUAGUUGAACAUUUCUUGACACCUGGAGAAGCAGUGUAGCAGUAAGUAUUAAGAUAUGCCUCCAACUCGGGGAAUAUAAAAGGAAUAAUUGCCACAUGGUCUGACCUCCUCUAACUCUCACCAACUUGUGCAUCAAGCCCAUAGUUUUUGACUUACAUUGUAUCUCAAAGGUUCAGCCUUGGUUAUGAGUGACUGCAAGAGAGCACCUACCACCUUUAUGGGCGUGCUGUUCAGUAGUUGAUUACCUGGUCAAAAUCUGCACCCUGCACAUUUUACUUGUACUCUUGGCUUCCAGAGACUGACUUCUGUUGUAUCCAACAGACUGAAGAGUUGCCUGCUGUAAUAAAAUCAUUCCUCAGUGAGCACGACCAGUGCUUCAUGUGUGAGUCAUGGCUCAACUUUGAGCUUCUCUUUCUCAUUUUUUAAAUAAAGUCUCAUCCUCCUUAAAAUGUGGGUAGCCUGUAACUGCAGUAAUCAUCUUGCAAAUGUUAUAUAAAUGUCAUAUAAUACCCUUUUUGUGUUUCCAUUCGAUGUGAAAUUGAGUGUGAAGGUUGUUUGGCUGCAGCCCCUCUUCACACAGCUCAGGAAGUCCUGCUUUGGUCUGGGUGCAGCACGAGCCUGGCUGAAGGAGAUGGGUGUCAGUGCAAUGGGGGUCCCCUGCUUCCUCUCUCUGAAGCUGGACUGACACAACAGCUGGACCCCACAGAAUUUUCAUGGAUAGAACAGCUGGGCACUGGUUUAGGUGCCAGUUAAGCAUGUAAGUAGUGGUAUUCAUUUCAUGUGCUUCAGAGGCUGACAGGAUAGCCAUGCUCUUCCUGAGCUCCCUGGGAGAUCAUAGUAAGGAUUUUGCAGUAAUGAUCUUCUCAAGACCUAUUUCUUGAAAAAGGAUUUCAAUUCACAGAUAUCUAUAUUUUAUGCCUGUAAAACUCAUAUAUAUUUUCCUCUCCCCCACCUCUGCAUUAUUUCUAUUUACACAAAGAGAAGAGAGAGCUCAGUAUUUCCAAAAACCAAGACCAAGCUACCUCACAGUGAAGACUUGAGGUUAAUGUGUUUGAGAUUAAAGCUCAGUAAUUUUCUCCUAAGAUGUGCACACACUUCUGCCCCCUCACUGGCACUCUUUAAAGCUCUCAAGCCCUCUGCAGCUAUUUUAUAAAACAAGAUUCUCAGUCUGUCAGCAGACUUUCCCUUUCUCAUACUGCUUCUAUUUCGUACUCACAGAUUGUUUGAUGCAGUGAUGUUCUUUAGGAACUAUUGCUUUCUAGUCUCAACUGCUAUGUCUAUAAAUCAAAGAUAAAGUUUUUCCAUUUUCUUUUCAAAUUCCCUCUCUACUGUGUAAAAAAUUAAGAGCCUCUCUUAACAAUUACAUAAUCUGGCUCUAAAUCCAUUUCUCUUGAAGAUGCUGUGAAAAUGUGCUUUGGGUUGACUCAAGGUCUGUUUCUAUACUUCAGUUAACAUGAGAUAUCCAGUAAGGACUAUACAAGCUUGGUGCAACAUGAAGAAUCAACUGUCAGGAUUUUGAAAUGCAUGUUAUGAUAAAACAUGCCUUCUGUGUCUUCUGAGGUGAGAGAUUAUAUGGAUGCAUGGUUUGUGCACAGGUGGACGUCAUAACUUCUCUGUUCAUUAGAUUAUUUUCCUCAAUAAUAUUUCCUCCAACCCAGAUGCUUCCUCCCAUCUUGGCCUGCAUCACAAAUACCUCAAAAAUCUUUAAAAUAACAAUGUUAGGAAGGAGGUUUAUGUAAAGAUAUUGAAAGGAUGUAAUAAUAUAACUGAACUGCAUUUUAAAGUGCAUUUAUUUUAAUGUCCAAUUUUUCUACUCAGUGUAAGGUUGAAGUGGAAGUUUUAAAAUGUGUUUUUUUAAUGUAGUCUUUAUUAUUAUUUGUAUCCUCAAUCAAUCCUCCUUUGCACAAGAGAAUUUGUUUUUUUUUUCAGAUCCUGACUGAUUAAAAAGCUCCAUUUGGUUAUGUAAGAACAGCACAUGGAACACACCAGGAGCUGCUGGCAGCACAUUACUGACUAACAGAGUGAGAGACCUUUCAGACAUUGCUGAAGCUCUGUGGAGGAUUCUUUAUGGCAACUGUAAAAUGUGUUUUAGGAGUAAGUGCUAACAGACCUCACCAGAGCAGUUGAACUUAAAGGCUUAAUCUUUUAUUCAAAAGUAUGAGUGAAUGCCAAGAAAGGGACAGGGGGAGGUUCACAGGAAGAGGAAUUCAAAAUUACUGUUAAAAAUUGAAAUUUGAGCUAGAAUAGCAUGGGGCAGAGAGAGUUCACCUGCCUUGUCUAACCAGAUUUUCACACCAGAUAUAUCCAUACCACAAAAAAAUAAGGAUUCAGAAAAAAGGACAGAAAAUAUCCAUGGGAAAUUAAAGAAAUGCCAUCAGUAGAGCUGUGCUGAUGAGGCUACAGCUGAAGAAAUUGAAAAGGAAUUUCACUCACACUUAGUUUUGCUGCACACAAUACCAUACUACCUGGAAUAUAUAUUUUUUUCUCUUUAAUCUGCAUACUGCCAAAUCAGCCUUUUUAGAGAACUGCUAGUAAGAGAUAAAAAUAUGUUUCCUUAGUAUAAUGCAACUGAAUGAAAGCUGAAAAGGCUACAUUUGAGGCUCAGAUAUAUUUGGUAAGGUUUUGUAAGCCUAACCCUCCUCUUUUUAACCUCAUUAAGAGGAAAAAAAUUUUGCCACAAAAGAAGAGAAAUGUGGAAAAUAGUGGAGUUAUUGCCACAGAUUAUUGGAAUAAAAACUCUUCCAAGUCAAACUCAA